RNAcentral lists this long non-coding RNA (267 nucleotides) under Glycine max (soybean). RNAcentral describes it as "long non-coding RNA (GMAX_LNC003260)". The record is from RNAcentral. Lineage: Eukaryota; Viridiplantae; Streptophyta; Magnoliopsida; Fabales; Fabaceae.
CUCACACACACUUUCUCUCUCUCUCUCUCUCACCCAGAUCUUGUAGCAAUGGCGAGCGCUCCCACUCCACGCGAAGAGUUCGUGUACAUGGCGAAGCUGGCGGAGCAGGCCGAGCGCUACGAGGAGAUGGUGGAGUUCAUGGAGAAGGUCUCCGCCUCCGCCGAGAGCGAGGAGCUGACCGUGGAGGAGCGUAACCUCCUCUCCGUCGCCUACAAGAACGUGAUCGGCGCUCGCCGCGCCUCCUGGCGCAUCAUCUCCUCAAUCGAG